RNAcentral lists this unclassified non-coding RNA (216 nucleotides) under plant metagenome. RNAcentral's name for it is "partial contains small subunit ribosomal RNA and internal transcribed spacer 1". The stretch from base 1 to 46 matches the Rfam family "Eukaryotic small subunit ribosomal RNA", at positions 1786 to 1831 of the family's 1831-position model. The record is from RNAcentral.
AAGUCGUAACAAGGUUUCCGUAGGUGAACCUGCGGAAGGAUCAUUAAUGAGUUAGGGUCUCCGGGCCCGACCUCCAACCCUUUGUUGUCACAAAACCAAUUGUUGCUUUGGCGUGGACCGCCCGCGAGGGCUGCCGGUCUUAGGCCCGGCAUGCGCCGCAGCGAAACAACUCUUGUUACCAACGUCGUCUGAGUAAAAUGAUUAAAUCAAUCAAAA